RNAcentral lists this ribosomal RNA (479 nucleotides) under Burkholderia cenocepacia. Its description in RNAcentral is "bacterial SSU rRNA". It matches the Rfam family "Bacterial small subunit ribosomal RNA", at positions 51 to 523 of the family's 1533-position model. The record is from RNAcentral. Lineage: Bacteria; Pseudomonadati; Pseudomonadota; Betaproteobacteria; Burkholderiales; Burkholderiaceae.
ACACAUGCAAGUCGAACGGCAGCACGGGUGCUUGCACCUGGUGGCGAGUGGCGAACGGGUGAGUAAUACAUCGGAACAUGUCCUGUAGUGGGGGAUAGCCCGGCGAAAGCCGGAUUAAUACCGCAUACGAUCCAUGGAUGAAAGCGGGGGACCUUCGGGCCUCGCGCUAUAGGGUUGGCCGAUGGCUGAUUAGCUAGUUGGUGGGGUAAAGGCCUACCAAGGCGACGAUCAGUAGCUGGUCUGAGAGGACGACCAGCCACACUGGGACUGAGACACGGCCCAGACUCCUACGGGAGGCAGCAGUGGGGAAUUUUGGACAAUGGGCGAAAGCCUGAUCCAGCAAUGCCGCGUGUGUGAAGAAGGCCUUCGGGUUGUAAAGCACUUUUGUCCGGAAAGAAAUCCUUGGCUCUAAUACAGUCGGGGGAUGACGGUACCGGAAGAAUAAGCACCGGCUAACUACGUGCCAGCAGCCGCGGUAA